ACCUGUUUCCACAGCUCAUAUACUAAGAGUAGAAUAAUACAGAGAAGGAUUAGCAUGGCCCCUUCCCAAGGAUGACCCGCAACUUCAUGAAGCAUUUUGUAUUUUU
This is a small nuclear RNA of Zalophus californianus (California sea lion), 106 nucleotides long. The record is from Ensembl. Lineage: Eukaryota; Metazoa; Chordata; Mammalia; Carnivora; Otariidae.